GAUGAAGAACUAGCGAAAUGCGAUAAGUAAUGUGAAUUGCAGAAUUCAGUGAAUCAUCGAAUCUUUGAACGCACAUUGCGCCCGCCAGUAUUCUGGCGGGCAUGCCUGUUCGAGCGUCAUUUCAACCAUCAAGCCCCAGGCUUGUGUUGGGGACCUGCGGCUGCCGCAGGCCCUGAAAACCAGUGGCGGGCUCGCUGUCACACCGGGCGUAGUAGAUUUUAUCUCGCUCAGGGCGUGCUGCGGGUUCCGGCCGUUAAAAAGCCUUUUUUACCCAAGGUUGACCUCGGAUCAGGUAGGAAGACCCGCUGAACUUAAGCAUAUCAAUAAGCGGAGGA
RNAcentral lists this unclassified non-coding RNA (335 nucleotides) under soil metagenome. RNAcentral's name for it is "partial contains 5.8S ribosomal RNA, internal transcribed spacer 2, and large subunit ribosomal RNA". The stretch from base 1 to 119 matches the Rfam family "5.8S ribosomal RNA", at positions 35 to 154 of the family's 154-position model. The record is from RNAcentral.